UGGGGAAUAUUGCACAAUGGGCGCAAGCCUGAUGCAGCCAUGCCGCGUGUAUGAAGAAGGCCUUCGGGAUGUAAAGUACUUUCAGCGGGGAGGAAGGGAGUAAAGUUAAUACCUUUGCUCAUUGACGUUACCCGCAGAAGAAGCACCGGCUAACUCCGUGCCAGCAGCCGCGGUAAUACGGAUGGUGCAAGCAUUAAUCGGAAUUACUGGGCGUAAAGCGCACGCAGGCGGUUUGUUAAGUCAGAUGUGAAAUCCCCGGGCUCAACCUGGGAACUGCAUCUGAUCCUGGCAAGCUUGAGUCUCGUAGAGAGGGGUAGAAUUCCAGGUGUAGCGGUGAAAUGCGUAGAGAUCUGGAGGAAUCCCGGUGGCGAAGGCGGCCCCCUGGACGAAGACUGACGCUCAGGUGCGAAAGCGUGGGGAGCAAACAGG
Molecule: ribosomal RNA, 429 nt
Filed under: Chloroflexota bacterium
Lineage: Bacteria; Bacillati; Chloroflexota
Description: Chloroflexi bacterium partial 16S ribosomal RNA
Rfam family: Bacterial small subunit ribosomal RNA
Source: RNAcentral